AUAUCAGUCAUGCAUAGCAUAUCAAUAAGCGGAGGAAAAGAAACUAACAAGGAUUCCCUUAGUAACGGCGAGUGAAGCGGGAAGAGCUCAAAUUUGAAAUCUUCAAGGUUCUACCUUGACGAAUUGUAGUUUAUAGAAGUGUUUUCUGUUAGUAGAGUGGCAAAAGUUCUUUGGAAUAGGACAUCAUAGAGGGUGAGAAUCCCGUAUUUGGUCAUUCUCUCUAGCUUUGUGAUACACUUUCAACGAGUCGGAUUGUUUGGGAAUGCAGUCCAAAAUGGGUGGUAAAUUUCAUCUAAAGCUAAAUAUUGGCGAGAGACCGAUAGCGAACAAGUACCGUGAGGGAAAGAUGAAAAGAACUUUGAAAAGAGAGUUAAACAGUACGUGAAAUUGUCAAAAGGGAAGCGUUUGACACCAGUGUUGUUUUUCCGAAAAUCAAUUACGAAUGUUUUGUUUUUGAGAAGUUAUGACUUCAUCGGCUUGCUUCUUUCUUUACGAAACUUUCUUAAUGCACUUUUCGGUUAACAAGUCAACAUCAAUUUCUUUUGUUGUAAAAGGGUAUGAGGAAGGUGGCUUUCUUUUCGGAGAAAGUGUUUAUAGCCUUGUACCUCUGCAAUCGGAGAGAUUGAGGUCUGCAGCGUAGAUCCUUCGGGGUUAGAUACAUUUGUGCUAAGUUAUAGCUUUUCAUAGACAACUUGUUGACUAUGUUAAGUCUUGUAGCUUACUCGCUUAUGCUAUUUUACCUACGCUUAGGAUGUUGAUCUCUCACAGUCGAGC
This 774-nucleotide ribosomal RNA is filed under the name uncultured Neocallimastigales. RNAcentral describes it as "partial large subunit ribosomal RNA". It matches the Rfam family "Eukaryotic large subunit ribosomal RNA", at positions 22 to 645 of the family's 3401-position model. The record is from RNAcentral. Lineage: Eukaryota; Fungi; Neocallimastigomycota; Neocallimastigomycetes; Neocallimastigales.